This is a long non-coding RNA of Diceros bicornis minor, 763 nucleotides long. RefSeq lists it as uncharacterized. Lineage: Eukaryota; Metazoa; Chordata; Mammalia; Perissodactyla; Rhinocerotidae. The transcript has 4 exons. The record is from RefSeq and is a predicted model, not a curated record.
UGAUGUGAAGACAGAGACACAUGGGGAGACGACAGCCAAGUGACUACAGAGGCAGAUGUUGGAGUGAUACAUCUACGAAGCCAGGGAACACCAAGGAUUGCUGGCCACCACCAGACACUAGGAAAAGGAAAGGAAGGAUUCUACUCAGAGUCUCAGAGAGAGAAAAGCCCUUGAUUUUGGAUUUCUAGCCUUCAGAACUGUGAGGGAGACUCCAUACUUCAGAGUGAUCAGAUCCUGAUUAGAAGCUGCAACAUUCAUGGGCAUUAAUCUUAUCAAUCCUUGAGAAGUGCCACCUGCUAAGAUUGAGCCCUGAAAUGACUUCCUGGUUUGGAUCAAUCCAGAUGAGCAUUUCUUAUUGAGGAGGAGCUGGCAAGCAAAGGAGGAACCAUGAGUCCCCAUCACCACUCCAUCAUGUCAAGAUCUCCUCAGGUGGCUGAAAUUUUCACAGCUUGUUAGGUGGCUCUGGCUUUCACAGUUUGUGGCCCUGAAUGACUGCUAGGGGAACGGCAUUUUCACUCCCUCCCGAAGCCAAGCUUCACAGUGGAAAUGUGCGAGUUGUGCCAAUAGCCUCCCAGAAAUCCUGUGGUUGUGGCAGAUGCAAGCUAACUCAGCAUGGAGAUGAGAUUUCUUCCAGAUUGGGAAUUGAUGUCCCAAACAGAAAGUGAAUCAUACUGACUUCGUUCUCAAAGUUUCUUCAGCUCAGUUUCUGGACAUGGCUUGGCUUCAUUUUGCUCAGGGUCUCAUAGGCCACAGUGAAAGCACU